GGGCCGUUAGCUCAGUUGGCAGAGCACCUGAUUUUUAAUCCGGUGGCCGCAGGUUCGAAUCCUGCACGGCCCAUCA
This 76-nucleotide transfer RNA is filed under the name Caldifarciminota bacterium. RNAcentral's name for it is "tRNA-Lys". It matches the Rfam family "tRNA". From Rfam's summary of the family: Transfer RNA (tRNA) molecules are approximately 80 nucleotides in length. The record is from RNAcentral. Lineage: Bacteria; Pseudomonadati; Caldifarciminota.